Molecule: transfer RNA, 90 nt
Filed under: Mycobacterium avium subsp. paratuberculosis
Lineage: Bacteria; Bacillati; Actinomycetota; Actinomycetes; Mycobacteriales; Mycobacteriaceae
Description: tRNA-Ser
Source: RNAcentral
GCGGCGGCGGGUGCCGGGCCCGCCGCGUGCGCCGGGUCGAUGCCGGUCGGCAGGUGCGCCUGCAGACCCGGUUCGAUGCCGGUGGCCGGC